AACCUAAAAGGGCAUAUUAAUAUAAGAAAUAACACAAUAUUUCAAUACAAAAAUAUAUCAAAGUGUACUAUAGUUUUACAAACUAAAUUGAAAUGUCAUUCACUUCAACCAUUACGAUUACAAGAAACUUCAAAUCUUGCUUGAACUUCAAAUCACUACAAAAACUUGCUUAAACUUCAAAUCACUAGCAUCCAAACUCAAGAUAGGAUCUGCAACAGUUCAUGAAACUCAGCGGAUUUCACUACGAUAUCACCUGGCUGCAAAGAGAAAUACACAAUAAGCGACUUCAUCCAAACUCAAAACAUGGAUGAAUAUAGCAUACUUGAUGAAUUUAGUACUACCAGCCAGUUAAGUUAUAUGGUGGAAUAAGACAUGUUAGUUGACAAGAAUAUAUUACAACAAUAACAACAUAAUACACAGUGAAAUUUCACAAGCGGGUUUGGGAAAGGUAGAAUAUACGCACAAGUAAUGACUUAUCCCCAGUUACGCUUGUCAGGGAGCAAAAGGAAAACAAUUACUAUUGUUUAUGUCCAGCCAAAUAAUACAACUUACAGAGUUAAGAGCCUGCUCAAGAAAUACAUCAGUAGCUACCUUUUUGUGUAACUCAAACCAAUUGGGUCUGCGAUGGCCACAAGCCACUACUCCCCUGUACUAAUUUUACUUUUUAAUGAAAUGCUUCAUAUUUCCUUACCAAAAAAAAAGUAACAACAAAUGGGUCCUAGUUAGAUAAAGUCUAAAGAUUAAUUCAUUGGGAAAAGAAAUUAAUUAGUAAUAUCUAUAUGGCUAGAUCUCACAUUAGUUGUACACUGAAAUGUACCUCUAAUCCUUAAUUCUUUGAAGUAUCAAAGUUCCAGAGAAAAAGAUUUUACUUACCAAUGCCAACCACCUUGCUAUGCCUAUAUAACAUAAUUAUAGGUGCAGUAAGUUCUCAAGACAAUGUAAAAUAUUCAUUAAACAACACCAACAACUAUAUAAAAGCUAUAACUUGAAAUGUAAAAGUCCAACUAGUGAAUUAGAAAAUACCAGUUACUAUUCAGAUGAUCAAUUAUAAUUUUUUGAAAAGGCACAAUUACUAAAAAUAAUGUGACCUCUCAAAACUGAACAUGAGUCUAAUGAUGCUUAGGAUUGGGUCUGUUGGGAGAAAUUGAAUUUUGCUUGCAAAAAGAGUCCACUGGCCAUCCAAGAUGUAAUCUUGGCAAUAAUCUUGUCCACUAAGGGUUUAAUUGGACUAUUGUAAGCCUUUUAGGUGUCGUUUAAUACAAAGAUUAAUAAUGUAGGGAUUAGUAAUGCAAGGUUCCUUAGUAAAAUUGUUUGGCACACCUAGAUAUUUGAAACAGAGUUCUCCAACCUCAUAUCCAAGCAUAGUCAAGAUGGUUUCCUUAGUAAAUUUGUUAAUACCUUCAAAACAUACCUGACUUUUCAAAAUGAUGGUCUUCAAAUCAGAAGCAUCAGAAAACAUAUUGAAUUUACCCCUCGAUAGUUGUAGUUGUAUAGAUCUGACAUCUCAUCUAGUAAAUAUAGUAAGUCAACAGCAACAAAGUACUGAUUCAAAACUGAUGUCAACAUCUAGAUGGAAAAAAAUGUUUCAUCAAACUUUCUUAGUUGUAAAUCAGCACAACUACAAAGAAAAAAGACAUUCUUGCAACUCUUCCAAAUCUGUUUGGGUUAAAGGAAUUUUGCAUUUAACUAUCAUUCCAUCUUCACUAACUAUCUAAAGGACAAAAUCAAAUAAAAAAAUACAAUAAACUCACAAGAUUUGUAGAGCGUCGCAGAACUUGAGCGAGUUGUGCAUGACUGCUUAUAAGAGCUUUUAUCUUCUUCAACAAUGCAGCCACAAAUAUUGACACUAUAGCACGAAAAAAUAGUGCAAACUGUCUUAAAGAAAGAUCUCAUCAGAAAAAUGAGAACCAAAUUUAAAAAGAAUAGCUGAAAAGUAGAUGAAACUUACGGAAAUAGCUGGGAAUAUAGACGAAAUCAGGUUCAGUAAUGUGGGAGGAGAUAGUGGUGGGAGUGACGUCUUUGGGAUCGGUGGCAAAAGGGAUGGUUGGGUUUGGGGACAAUUCCAGUUGUUGGGGAUGAUCGUAACAUGUAUACUCAAUAUACUCGAUAUGGUUAGUCAAUCGAUAAAGUGAAACAACCUUAUGGUGCUACUUCUAAUCCUACACAGGCUGAUGACGCGACAAGAAAGAACAGUUCAUCAUCAAACAAGUUGAAAACACCACAUUUCUCCAAUAUCACCACCUUAUAACAUAGAAACAAAUAUCAUAUCUCUCAAAUUUACCAGAUUCACUUACAACUAACAAAAAUCAAUUAAGAAGUUAAUCUAUCCAACCAAAAAAUCAAUUACUAGCAAGUUAUUCUCUAUGUAAACCUUAUUUAAUUAGAUUAUCCAUAUUGAAACCCUAAAGAAUCGAAGUUUAGGGGAAAUCCAAAAAGUACAAUAGUUAUAAACCUUAGAAAGAGCUGAAGCUUCUCCAUGGUGCAGGACGUAGGGCAACGAGCCUAUUGGAGCAUUCUUUUACUCCAAAAUCGGCGAAGAUAUUGCAGAUUUUCUGAAACUAAAAUAGAUUCAAAAUACAAAUCUCAAAACUUUUUACAAACAAUUUGAAGUUGAGAAAAAAAAAAUCAGUUGAUUUAUAGAUUGAAAAUGCAUGAAAAUGAGGAAAAGAGAACUCAUUUUUGAAGCUUUCGAUGUCUAAAUUAAGGAGCAAUUGUUAAAUAGAGAGAAAUUGGGAAGUAAGAGAGGAGAAGAGAAGUAUGAACCAACGAUACCGCCAAUCGCCACCGCCGCCUCCAUCUUUUCCUACUCCGACCACUGUUAUUGUGGAUGAAGACAGUGAUAGCUCCGCCACCAUGGAUUCGCCACCGUGCCGCCUCCAUCACUUCCUACUCCAACCCUAAUUAUCAUAUGAAAAUUGAUCAGUUCGGGAUCGCAGAAAAUAGAAUGAAACUUUUUUUUAUUUGGGGAUUAAAUGAGCAACGAUAUAAAAUUUUAUUUUUUAGGAUAGCGGCGGGUAAUAACCCCACAAAUUCUACUAAAAUUAUAGGGGUUAAUCAAACCUCCGUAAUUUGAUGUAAUUUGUGGGGGUUGAGUUAACCUCCAUUAUAAAACCUCUAGGAUUUAAGUGUUUUUUUGUAGUGGAU
RNAcentral lists this long non-coding RNA (3144 nucleotides) under Solanum tuberosum (potato). RNAcentral's name for it is "long non-coding RNA (STUB_LNC009495)". The record is from RNAcentral. Lineage: Eukaryota; Viridiplantae; Streptophyta; Magnoliopsida; Solanales; Solanaceae.